This 407-nucleotide ribosomal RNA is filed under the name uncultured bacterium. Its description in RNAcentral is "partial 16S ribosomal RNA". It matches the Rfam family "Bacterial small subunit ribosomal RNA", at positions 29 to 526 of the family's 1533-position model. The record is from RNAcentral.
AUUGAACGCUGGCGGCAGGCCUAACACAUGCAAGUCGAGCGGAGCGGCGGACGGGUGAGUAAUGCCUAGGAAUCUGCCUGGUAGUGGGGGAUAACGUCCGGAAACGGGCGCUAAUACCGCAUACUAUCAGAUGAGCCUAGGUCGGAUUAGCUCGUUGGUGGGGUAAAGGCAUACCAAGGCCACGAACCGUAACUGGUCUGAGAGGAAGAUCAGUCAGACGGGACAUGAGACACGGGCCAGACGCCGACGGGAGGCAGCAGUGGGGAAUAUGGGACAAUGGGCGAAAGCCGGACCAAGCCAUGCCGCGGGUGUGAAGAAGGUCUUCGGAUUGUAAAGCAUUUUAAGUUGGGAGGCGUUACCAACAGAAUAAGCACCGGCUAACUUCGUGCCAGCAGCCGCGGUAAUUC